RNAcentral lists this ribosomal RNA (2364 nucleotides) under Clostridioides difficile. RNAcentral's name for it is "partial 23S ribosomal RNA". It matches the Rfam family "Bacterial large subunit ribosomal RNA", at positions 320 to 2703 of the family's 2925-position model. Lineage: Bacteria; Bacillati; Bacillota; Clostridia; Peptostreptococcales; Peptostreptococcaceae. The record is from RNAcentral.
AGAGGUAUCGUAAUUGAAGAGGUUUGGAAAGACUCACCACAGAAGGUAAUAGUCCUGUAUGUUAAACGAGAAGACUUUAGAUAUGAUCCAGAGUACCACGGGACACGUGAAACCCUGUGGGAAGCAGGAGGGACCACCCUCCAAGGCUAAAUACUACCUAGUGACCGAUAGCGUAUAGUACCGUGAGGGAAAGGUGAAAAGAACCCCGGGAGGGGAGUGAAAUAGAACCUGAAACCCUGCACUUACAAGCUGUGGAAGCACAUUUCUUGUGUGACCGCGUACUUUUUGUAGAACGGGCCAACGAGUUACGUUAAGUAGCAAGGUUAAGCACUUAAGGUGCGGAGCCGUAGCGAAAGCGAGUUUUAACUGAGCGUUCAGUUACUUGACGUAGACCCGAAACCGGGCGACCUACCCAUGAGCAGGAUGAAGCGAAAGUAAAAUUUCGUGGAGGUCCGAACCCACGAGCGUUGAAAAGCUCGGGGAUGACUUGUGGGUAGCGGUGAAAUUCCAAUCGAGCCCGGAGAUAGCUGGUUCUCCCCGAAAUAGCUUUAGGGCUAGCCUCAAGGUGAGAGAUACGGAGGUAGAGCACUGAAUGUCCUAGGGGGUAUUGCACCUACCGAAGACUAUCAAACUCCGAAUGCCGUCAUCUUAUACUUGGGAGUCAGACUGUGGGUGAUAAGAUUCAUAGUCGAAAGGGCAACAGCCCAGAUCGUCAGCUAAGGUCCCUAAAUGUAAGUUAAGUGGUAAAGGAUGUGGGAUUGCACAGACAACCAGGAUGUUGGCUUAGAAGCAGCCACUCAUUCAAAGAGUGCGUAAUAGCUCACUGGUCGAGUGAUCCUGCGCCGAAGAUUUCCGGGGCUAAAACUUACUACCGAAGCUACGGCAUCAGUAAUGAUGGGUAGGGGAGCUUCCCAUACGGGUUGAAGCAUGACCGUAAGGACAUGUGGACAGUAUGGGAGUGAGAAUGUUGGCAUGAGUAGCGAGAUGUGGGUGAGAAUCCCACAGGCCGUAAACCCAAGGUUUCCAGGGGAAGGUUCGUCCGCCCUGGGUUAGUCGGGACCUAAGCUGAGGCCGAAAGGCGUAGGUGAUGGACAACAGGUUGAUAUUCCUGUACUACCGAUAACCGUUUGAGAGAAGGGAUGACACAGUAGGAUAAGCUAAGCACACUGUUGGUUAUGUGUGCCCAAGCAUUGAGGCAGUCAAAGUAGGCAAAUCCGCUUUGAUAAUGCUGGGAUGUGAUGGGGAGCGAAAUUUAGUAGCGAAGUAGCUGAUUUCACACUGUCAAGAAAAGUCUCUAUCGAGGUUAAAGGUACCCGUACCGCAAACCGACACAGGUGGGUGAGGAGAGUAUCCUAAGGCCAGCGAGAGAACUGUUGUUAAGGAACUCGGCAAAAUGACCCCGUAACUUAGGGAUAAGGGGUGCCACCAUCAGGUGGCCGCAGAGAAUAGGCCCAAGCGACUGUUUACCAAAAACAUAGGUUUCUGCUAAGUCGCAAGACGAUGUAUAGGAGCUGACGCCUGCCCGGUGCUGGAAGGUUAAGGGGAUCUGUUAGAGCAAUCGAAGCAGUGAACUUAAGCCCCAGUAAACGGCGGCCGUAACUAUAACGGUCCUAAGGUAGCGAAAUUCCUUGUCGGGUAAGUUCCGACCCGCACGAAAGGCGUAACGAUUUGGGCACUGUCUCAACAACAGACUCGGUGAAAUUGUAAUUCCGGUGAAGAUGCCGGAUACCUGCGACAGGACGGAAAGACCCCAUGGAGCUUUACUGUAGCUUGACAUUGGGUCUUGGUACUACAUGUACAGGAUAGGUGGGAGGCUUUGAAACCAGGACGCCAGUUUUGGCGGAGCCAUCCUUGGGAUACCACCCUUGUAGUACUGGGACUCUAACCAUAGGCCAUGAAUCUGGUCUUGGGACACUGUCAGGUGGGCAGUUUGACUGGGGCGGUCGCCUCCCAAAAGGUAACGGAGGCGCUCAAAGGUUCUCUCAGUACGGUCGGAAAUCGUACGUAGAGUGUAAAGGCAAAAGAGAGCUUGAUUGCAAGACAUACAGGUCGAGCAAGGAUGAAAAUCGGACUUAGUGAUCCGGUGGUUCUGCGUGGAAGGGCCAUCGCUCAACGGAUAAAAGCUACCCUGGGGAUAACAGGCUUAUCUCCCCCAAGAGUCCACAUCGACGGGGAGGUUUGGCACCUCGAUGUCGGCUCAUCACAUCCUGGGGCUGUAGUAGGUCCCAAGGGUUGGGCUGUUCGCCCAUUAAAGUGGUACGCGAGCUGGGUUCAGAACGUCGUGAGACAGUUCGGUCCCUAUCCGUCGCAGGCGUAGGAAAUUUGAGAAGACCUGUCCUUAGUACGAGAGGACCGGGAUGGACG